AACGAACGCUGGCGGCAGGCCUAACACAUGCAAGUCGAGCGAGACCUUCGGGUCUAGCGGCGGACGGGUGAGUAACGCGUGGGAACGUGCCCUUUUCUACGGAAUAGCCUCGGGAAACUGAGCGUAAUACCGUAUACGCCCUUUGGGGGAAAGAUUUAUCGGAGUAGGAUCGGCCCGCGUUGGAUUAGGUAGUUGGUUGGGUAAUGGCCUACCAAGCCUACGAUCCAUAGCUGGUUUGAGAGGAUGAUCAGCCACACUGGGACUGAGACACGGCCCAGACUCCUACGGGAAGCAGCAGUGGGGAAUCUUAGACAAUGGGGGCAACCCUGAUCUAGCCAGGCCGCGUGAGUGAUGAAGGCCUUAGGGUUGUAAAGCUCUUUCAGCUGGGAAGAUAAUGACGGUACCAGCAGAAGAAGCCCCGGCUAACUCCGUG
RNAcentral lists this ribosomal RNA (433 nucleotides) under uncultured bacterium. Its description in RNAcentral is "partial 16S ribosomal RNA". It matches the Rfam family "Bacterial small subunit ribosomal RNA", at positions 29 to 507 of the family's 1533-position model. The record is from RNAcentral.